UCCCUGGUGGUCUAGUGGUUAAGACUCUGUCUUGCAAUGCAGGGGACACAGGUUUGAUCCCUGGUAGGGGAA
This 72-nucleotide transfer RNA is filed under the name Bos taurus (domestic cattle). It matches the Rfam family "tRNA". Rfam says of the family: Transfer RNA (tRNA) molecules are approximately 80 nucleotides in length. Their secondary structure includes four short double-helical elements and three loops (D, anti-codon, and T loops). The record is from Rfam by way of RNAcentral. Lineage: Eukaryota; Metazoa; Chordata; Mammalia; Artiodactyla; Bovidae.